CACCGGCGGCUCGAGUGGUAACCGCUAUUAUUGGGUCUAAAGGGUCUGUAGCCGGCCGGAUAAGUCUCUUGGGAAAUCCAGCAGCUCAACUGUUGGGCUUCCAGGGGAUACUGUUCGGCUCGAGGCCGGGAGAGGUGAGAGGUACUUCAGGGGUAGGGGUGAAAUCUUGUAAUCCUUGAAGGACCACCAGUGGCGAAGGCGUCUCACCAGAACGGUCCUGACGGCAAGGGACGAAAGCUAGGGGCACGAACCGG
Molecule: ribosomal RNA, 254 nt
Filed under: uncultured Methanosaeta sp.
Lineage: Archaea; Methanobacteriati; Methanobacteriota; Methanomicrobia; Methanotrichales; Methanotrichaceae
Description: partial 16S ribosomal RNA
Rfam family: Archaeal small subunit ribosomal RNA
Source: RNAcentral